UUGGAGGGCAAGUCUGGUGCCAGCAGCCGCGGUAAUUCCAGCUCCAAUAGCGUAUAUUAAAGUUGUUGCAGUUAAAAAGCUCGUAGUUGAAUUUCGGGAUCAAGGGAUCGGUCAUGCCUUGGUAUGUACUGGUUUUAUUGGUUCUCACCUUCUAAAGAACCAUAAUGUCAUUUAUUUGAUGUUAUGGGGAAUUAGGACUGUUACCUUGAAAAAAUUAGAGUGUUUAAAGCAAGCUUACGCUUGAAUACAUUAGCAUGGAAUAAUGAAAUAGGACAUCAGAUUCUAUUUUGUUGGUUUCUAGGAUCGAUGUAAUGAUUAAUAGGGAUAGUUGGGGGCAUUAGUAUUCAAUUGUCAGAGGUGAAAUUCUUGGAUUCAUUGAAGACUAACUACUGCGAAAGCAUUUGCCAAGGAUGUUUUCAUUAAUCAAGAACGAAAGUUAGGGGAUCGAAGACGAUCAGAUACCGUCGUAGUCUUAACCAUAAACUAUGCCGACUAGGGAUCGGAUGAUGUUAAUUUUUUAAUGACUCAUUCGGCACCUUACGGGAAACCAAAGUGUUUGGGUUC
RNAcentral lists this ribosomal RNA (564 nucleotides) under uncultured Glomeromycotina. RNAcentral describes it as "SSU rRNA". It matches the Rfam family "Eukaryotic small subunit ribosomal RNA", at positions 548 to 1114 of the family's 1831-position model. The record is from RNAcentral. Lineage: Eukaryota; Fungi; Glomeromycota.